UAUGUGAUCGUCUCUUGCAUAUCAAUAAGCGGAGGAAAAGAAACUAACAAGGAUUCCCCUAGUAACGGCGAGUGAAGCGGGAAGAGCUCAAAUUUGAAAUCUUAAAGGGUUUCCCUUUACGAAUUGUAGUUUAAAGAAGUGUUUUCUGUUGAGGUUUUGGUAAAAGUUCUUUGGAAUAGGACAUCAUAGAGGGUGAGAAUCCCGUAUUUGACCCUUACUUUCAACUUUGUGAUACACUUUCAAAGAGUCGGAUUGUUUGGGAAUGCAGUCCAAAAUGGGUGGUAAAUUUCAUCUAAAGCUAAAUAUUGGCGAGAGACCGAUAGCGAACAAGUACCGUGAGGGAAAGAUUGAAAAGAACUUUGAAAAGAGAGUUAAACAGUACGUGAAAUUGUCAAAAGGGAAGCGUUUGACACCAGUGUUGUUUUUCUGAAAAUCAAUUAAAGAACUGUUUAUGCUAAGUUGUUUAGACUUUAUCAGCUAUCUGUUUAGUUUUGAGCUUUUCUUUAAUGCACUUUUCAGUUAACAAGUCAACAUCAAUUUCUUUUGCUGUAAAAAAGCUUGAGGAAGGUGGCUUGAGAUUCGUCUUAAGUGUUUAUAGCCUCUUGCCUAUGCAGUCGGAGAGAUUGAGGUCUGCAGCGUAGAUCCUUCGGGGCUAAAUGCAUUUGUGCUAAGUUAUAGCAUUUUAUAGACAACUUGUUGACUAUGAUUUGUCUUGUAGCUUACUCGCUUAUGUUAUUUUACCUACGCUUAGGAUGUUGAGUCGUAGAGCACGCAG
This 775-nucleotide ribosomal RNA is filed under the name uncultured Neocallimastigales. RNAcentral's name for it is "partial large subunit ribosomal RNA". It matches the Rfam family "Eukaryotic large subunit ribosomal RNA", at positions 23 to 628 of the family's 3401-position model. The record is from RNAcentral. Lineage: Eukaryota; Fungi; Neocallimastigomycota; Neocallimastigomycetes; Neocallimastigales.